GAUGAAGAACGCAGCGAAAUGCGAUAAGUAGUGUGAAUUGCAGAAUUCAGUGAAUCACCGAAUCUUUGAACGCACAUUGCGCCCCUUGGUAUCCCGAGGGGCAUGCCUGUUCGAGCGUCAUUUCACCACUCAAGCCUGGCUUGGUGUUGGGCGACGUCCUCUUUGGGGACGCGCCUCGAAACGCUCGGCGGCGUGGCACCGGCUUUAAGCGUAGCAGAAUCUUUCGCUUUGGAAGUCGGGGCCCCGUCUGCCGGAAGACCUGCUCGCAAGGUUGACCUCGGAUCAGGCAGGGAUACCCGCUGAACUUAAGCAUAUCAAUAAGCGGAGGA
RNAcentral lists this unclassified non-coding RNA (329 nucleotides) under soil metagenome. Its description in RNAcentral is "partial contains 5.8S ribosomal RNA, internal transcribed spacer 2, and large subunit ribosomal RNA". The stretch from base 1 to 120 matches the Rfam family "5.8S ribosomal RNA", at positions 35 to 154 of the family's 154-position model. The record is from RNAcentral.